Molecule: ribosomal RNA, 780 nt
Filed under: uncultured bacterium
Lineage: Bacteria
Description: bacterial SSU rRNA
Rfam family: Bacterial small subunit ribosomal RNA
Source: RNAcentral
GAUGAACGCUGGCGGCGUGCUUAACACAUGCAAGUCGAACGAAGCACUUUAUUUGAUUUCCUUCGGGACUGAUUAUUUUGUGACUGAGUGGCGGACGGGUGAGUAACGCGUGGGUAACCUGCCUUGUACAGGGGGAUAACAGUUGGAAACGGCUGCUAAUACCGCAUAAGCGCACAGCAUCGCAUGAUGCAGUGUGAAAAACUCCGGUGGUAUAAGAUGGACCCGCGUUGGAUUAGCUAGUUGGUGAGGUAACGGCCCACCAAGGCGACGAUCCAUAGCCGACCUGAGAGGGUGACCGGCCACAUUGGGACUGAGACACGGCCCAAACUCCUACGGGAGGCAGCAGUGGGGAAUAUUGCACAAUGGGCGAAAGCCUGAUGCAGCGACGCCGCGUGAGCGAAGAAGUAUUUCGGUAUGUAAAGCUCUAUCAGCAGGGAAGAUAAUGACGGUACCUGACUAAGAAGCACCGGCUAAAUACGUGCCAGCAGCCGCGGUAAUACGUAUGGUGCAAGCGUUAUCCGGAUUUACUGGGUGUAAAGGGAGCGCAGGCGGUGCGGCAAGUCUGAUGUGAAAGCCCGGGGCUCAACCCCGGUACUGCAUUGGAAACUGUCGUACUAGAGUGUCGGAGGGGUAAGCGGAAUUCCUAGUGUAGCGGUGAAAUGCGUAGAUAUUAGGAGGAACACCAGUGGCGAAGGCGGCUUACUGGACGAUAACUGACGCUGAGGCUCGAAAGCGUGGGGAGCAAACAGGAUUAGAUACCCUGGUAGUCCACGCCGUAAA